GACGAACGCUGGCGGCGUGCUUAACACAUGCAAGUCGAACGGAAAGGCCCUGCUUUUGUGGGGUGCUCGAGUGGCGAACGGGUGAGUAACACGUGAGUAACCUGCCCUUGACUUUGGGAUAACUUCAGGAAACUGGGGCUAAUACCGGAUAGGAGCUCCUGCUGCAUGGUGGGGGUUGGAAAGUUUCGGCGGUUGGGGAUGGACUCGCGGCUUAUCGGCUUGUUGGUGGGGUAGUGGCUUACCAAGGCUUUGACGGGUAGCCGGCCUGAGAGGGUGACCGGCCACAUGGGGACUGAGAGACGGCCCAGACUCCUACGGGAGGCAGCAGUGGGGAAUAUUGCACAAUGGGCGGAAGCCUGAUGCAGCAACGCCGCGUGCGGGAUGACGGCCUUCGGGUUGUAAACCGCUUUCGCCUGUGACGAAGCGUGAGUGACGGUAAUGGGUAAAGAAGCACCGGCUAACUACGUG
Molecule: ribosomal RNA, 468 nt
Filed under: uncultured bacterium
Lineage: Bacteria
Description: partial 16S ribosomal RNA
Rfam family: Bacterial small subunit ribosomal RNA
Source: RNAcentral